RNAcentral lists this unclassified non-coding RNA (346 nucleotides) under soil metagenome. RNAcentral describes it as "partial contains 5.8S ribosomal RNA, internal transcribed spacer 2, and large subunit ribosomal RNA". The stretch from base 1 to 120 matches the Rfam family "5.8S ribosomal RNA", at positions 35 to 154 of the family's 154-position model. The record is from RNAcentral.
GAUGAAGAACGCAGCGAAAUGCGAUAAGUAAUGUGAAUUGCAGAAUUCAGUGAAUCAUCGAAUCUUUGAACGCACAUUGCGCCCGCUGGUAUUCCGGCGGGCAUGCCUGUUCGAGCGUCAUUUCAACCCUCAAGCCCCCGGGUUUGGUGUUGGGGAUCGGCUCUGCCUUCUGGCGGUGCCGCCCCCGAAAUACAUUGGCGGUCUCGCUGCAGCCUCCAUUGCGUAGUAGCUAACACCUCGCAACUGGAACGCGGCGCGACCAUGCCGUAAAACCCCAACUUCUGAAUGUUGACCUCGGAUCAGGUAGGAAUACCCGCUGAACUUAAGCAUAUCAAUAAGCGGAGGA